Molecule: ribosomal RNA, 235 nt
Filed under: uncultured bacterium
Lineage: Bacteria
Description: partial 16S ribosomal RNA
Rfam family: Bacterial small subunit ribosomal RNA
Source: RNAcentral
CGGACGGGUGAGUAACGCGUGGGUAACCUGCCUCACACUGGGGGAUAACAGUUAGAAAUAGCUGCUAAUACCGCAUAAGCGCACGGUUCCGCAUGGAACAGUGUGAAAAACUCCGGUGGUGUGAGAUGGACCCGCGUCUGAUUAGCCAGUUGGCGGGGUGACGGCCCACCAAAGCGACGAUCAGUAGCCGGCCUGAGAGGGUGAACGGCCACAUUGGGACUGAGACACGGCCCAA